AUUGAACGCUGGCGGAAUGCUUUACACAUGCAAGUCGAACGGCAGCACGGGUGCUUGCACCUGGUGGCGAGUGGCGAACGGGUGAGUAAUACAUCGGAACGUACCCAGUCGUGGGGGAUAACGUAGCGAAAGUUACGCUAAUACCGCAUACGUCCUGAGGGAGAAAGCGGGGGACCGUAAGGCCUCGCGCGAUUGGAGCGGCCGAUGGCGGAUUAGCUAGUUGGUGGGGUAAAGGCCUACCAAGGCGACGAUCCGUAGCGGGUGUGAGAGGACGGCCCGCCACACUGGAACUAGGACACGGUCCAGACUCAUACGGGAGGCAGCAGUGGGGAAUUUUGGACAAUGGGCGAAAGCCUGAUCCAGCCAUUCCGCGCGAGUGAAGAAGGCCUUCGGGUUGUAAAGCCCUUUCGGCAGGGAAGAAACGGCUUGGGAUAAUACCCCGGGCUAAUGACGGUACCUGAAGAAGAAGCACCGGCUAACUACGUGCCAGCCGCCGCCGUAA
RNAcentral lists this ribosomal RNA (502 nucleotides) under uncultured bacterium. RNAcentral's name for it is "partial 16S ribosomal RNA". It matches the Rfam family "Bacterial small subunit ribosomal RNA", at positions 29 to 523 of the family's 1533-position model. The record is from RNAcentral.